Molecule: long non-coding RNA, 599 nt
Organism: Orcinus orca (killer whale)
Lineage: Eukaryota; Metazoa; Chordata; Mammalia; Artiodactyla; Delphinidae
Exons: 3
Source: RefSeq, a predicted model, not a curated record
CUCCAGCAGCCCAGCUCUCACAGGUGACCCGCUGCCUUUCGGAAGCAGCCAGCUCUAAGCAGACAGAUGGCCGACGGGCCCCUGGCCCAGCCCUCAAGCCCCGGGCACUAGGCAGGAUGUCGCAGCAGCAGCAGCAACAGGAAGCCCUCCGCCUGCCAAGGCCAUCAGAGGCCCAUCGUCGAGGGAGGAGUGCCAGCUCCAGCCACAUGGCUGCCCUGCCCUGCCUCCCGGGGCCUGGCGCUGCUCAGAGGCCAGGAAGACGAUCUGAAUGAGCUUUGCUCUUCUAGCAGCAGCUGUAGACCUGGAAUUUCCCAGCAGUGUGGGGCAAAACCCACAGCCCAGGGCUCCAACUCAGAGCCUCUGAGUCUCUACUCUGCAUGGUCUGGGAUGUGAGAGCCCUUCGAAGGAGGUCAUGGCCCAGUCCCUUUUCCUGUCUGUCAAAGAGAAUGCUGAGCUGAGGAGAGCUGGCAGUCACUUCACUCGCAGCUGCUCCAGUGGUUCGGUCAAUCGGAUGGCCCUCUCACCAGCACCCUUGCUUCCUUUGUACGCCACCAUUCCCUUCAUCGGUGCAACUUAACAUCACCCAGGGCCAACCCCAG